GAUGAACGCUGGCGGCGUGCCUAAUACAUGCAAGUCGAGCGAACAGACGAGGAGCUUGCUCCUCUGACGUUAGCGGCGGACGGGUGAGUAACACGUGGAUAACCUACCUAUAAGACUGGGAUAACUUCGGGAAACCGGAGCUAAUACCGGAUAAUAUCUUAAACCGCAUGGUUCAAUAGUGAAAGACGGUUUUGCUGUCACUUAUAGAUGGAUCCGCGCCGCAUUAGCUAGUUGGUAAGGUAACGGCUUACCAAGGCAACGAUGCGUAGCCGACCUGAGAGGGUGAUCGGCCACACUGGAACUGAGACACGGUCCAGACUCCUACGGGAGGCAGCAGUAGGGAAUCUUCCGCAAUGGGCGAAAGCUUGACGGAGCAACGCCGCGUGAGUGAUGAAGGUCUUCGGAUCGUAAAACUCUGUUAUUAGGGAAGAACAAAUGUGUAAGUAACUAUGCACGUCUUGACGGUACCUAAUCAGAAAGCCACGGCUAACUACGUG
This 497-nucleotide ribosomal RNA is filed under the name uncultured bacterium. Its description in RNAcentral is "partial 16S ribosomal RNA". It matches the Rfam family "Bacterial small subunit ribosomal RNA", at positions 28 to 507 of the family's 1533-position model. The record is from RNAcentral.